Molecule: ribosomal RNA, 404 nt
Filed under: uncultured bacterium
Lineage: Bacteria
Description: bacterial SSU rRNA
Rfam family: Bacterial small subunit ribosomal RNA
Source: RNAcentral
UGGGGAAUUUUGCGCAAUGGGGGAAACCCUGACGCAGCAACGCCGCGUGAAGGAAGAAGGCUUUCGAGUUGUAAACUUCUGUUUCGGGGGACGAUAAUGACGGUACCCCGGCAGCAAGCCCCGGCUAACUCCGUGCCAGCAGCCGCGGUAAUACGGGGGGGGCAAGCGUUGUUCGGAAUUACUGGGCGUAAAGGGCGCGUAGGCGGUCCGAGAAGUUUCGGGUGAAAGCCCCGGGCUCAACCCGGGAAGGUCCCGGAAAACCAUCGGACUUGAGUGCUGGAGAGGCAAGCGGAAUUUCUGGUGUAGCGGUGAAAUGCGUAGAUAUCAGAAGGAACAUCGGAGGCGAAGGCGGCUUGCUGGACAGUAACUGACGCUGAGGCGCGAAAGCCAGGGGAGCGAACGGG